GGAGAGGUGACCGAGUGGCUUAAGGUGCACGCUUGGAAAGCGUGUGUGCUGUUUGAAGCGGUACCGGGGGUUCGAAUCCCUUCCUCUCCG
Molecule: transfer RNA, 90 nt
Filed under: Bacteroidota bacterium
Lineage: Bacteria; Pseudomonadati; Bacteroidota
Description: Bacteroidetes bacterium (marine metagenome) tRNA-Ser
Rfam family: tRNA
About the family: Transfer RNA (tRNA) molecules are approximately 80 nucleotides in length. Their secondary structure includes four short double-helical elements and three loops (D, anti-codon, and T loops).
Source: RNAcentral